AAAGAAAGGAAAUGGACUGCGAAAAAUAAGACAAAGAGGGAGGGAGACCUGGAAAGUAAGGCAUAUCUGUCUUUCAUACGCCUCACUUUCUUGGUCUCCCUCCCUCUUUGUCUUAUUUUUCGCAGUCCAUUUCCUUUCUUU
Non-coding RNA from Pelobates cultripes (western spadefoot toad), 141 nucleotides. The record is from the annotation of a GenBank genome assembly. Lineage: Eukaryota; Metazoa; Chordata; Amphibia; Anura; Pelobatidae.